GGCUGUUUUGACAGGUCUUCUUGAACCUAUAUAAUUAUUGUAAUCAGCAGAAAGGGUGAGGCAACUCAUGGCCUGAAAAAGGGACACGUGGAGAAUACUGGAGUCAAAGCAUUCUUAAGUUCACUGUGGAAGUAGGGUUCCAGCCCCAACAGUUUCUUCUGCAAGGAAAAGGAGCAUGGAGAACAGAGGAGGUGGAGAAAAGAAAGAGGAGGAAUUUAGUCCAAACAACGAUAAUGAAAAGGAGAAGCUUCGCGGCUGACCUUUAACUUCCCCACACCUCAGGGGACCUGAUGUGGAAGGUUCUUGCAAGCCUAUGCUCAGCGAGCUCUGGGAAAGGAAGGCCAGAUUUGGUCACAGUGAUCUCAGAGGACAGUGCCUGGACACGAUAUUCUGUGUUUGUGCUUGCAAUCUCAGAAACAGCACGAGAUUGUGGAGGCUUCACGAACUCUGAAACUUUGCUCACGAGUUGCAAGCAAAGCUGUGAGUUUUCCAAAGGUUAUUUGGCCAGAAGAGGAUGUCAGCACACAGAAGAAGAGACCACCACUGCUGGCCUUUCCAGUUCCAGCCGGACACCGCGGAGCACUGUUGACAACCGUGCAGGGCUCAUUCUCCUUCACAGAGAGGGGGCCGGGUGCGCCUCCCAGCCCAGGCCCCCAGGAGGCUCUGAGAGGGCAGAGGGGAGGGCCUUCUAAUAAGGCAUAAGCUGCUGGAAAGACAAACUCAAGCGCAAGCUGGGAGGAUCUCACUAGACCUACAAAAGUGGAAGGAAGCUGGCCGGGUGCCUGGCGCUGUGUGACCUACGCAACGAAAGGCAAGCUGAUCUUAGAAUGCUCAAAGAGGAGCAACUCUCCCAUGACCCUGUCCGUUUACACCAGAGAAGAGCAGAUAUGUCAUUCUGCUGCCAGGGCUGAGGAGGGGCAGUUUGCAUCAGGAGCAGACAAGUGGGUGCAACAGACUCUGAUUGCAAAAGUAGAGAAGAUCUCUCUGGAAGGAAACCUCCCAAUGUUUUCACCACGAGCUGUCAUGAAGAGAGACCUUGUGAAGCUCCACUCCAGCUUAGCUGCUUGCAAGGACAUCCCAGUUUCCAGGCACCAAAGUCUGGUAAAGCAGUCACUCAGCCUUCGGCUCCAGGCAGCCCCCUCAGGGAUGUUCUACUUGCUCUUCCACCCUUGGAGGCCGGGCUACCACUGUGUUCCGAAAACUGAUGAGCAUCCAGCGGGCAGCUCGCAGUCAGCUCCCCAGGCUGAUACUGGUUCCCUGGGUGAAGCGUGCCCGUGGGAAGACCCUCUACCUCUCCAGACACUUGGAUAAAGCAGUGGUCAAUGAGAGAUGGUGGCUUCCACCCAUUCUCUCAGUGAUGUCUGGGUUCGGAAGGCCUCCAGGUAGAUGACUCUCCUUCCCAUGGCUAGUAACCCUGAGGACUAAUGGUUCAACCAUCUGCAAAGGAACAAAAUGAAAAUUCAUUUUCCACAUGGUGAAAUGAAUGUCAUUCUUAUUUUAGUUUGUCAUAGAAAUCUUCUCUUUACCGCAAGAACUAUUCUUCAACUUAAACUGAAAUUGGAGAAUGCAUAUGGGCUACCUAUAAGUGGUUGAAUGCAAUUUUUUUAGAAUUUUAUGUGCUAUCAAUUAAACAUGUUUUCAUAACUGAGACACAAAUGUGAACAACGUUUUUGUUUUCAUUGUCAAGAUUUUCUAAUGGUGUGAAGGAGAAGGUAGAAAUUGGAGGCAUUCAGGGAAGAAGAUCAGUUGAGAAUUGAUAUUUGAACCUCUCUCUUACUUGUUCUUCAGUAAUAUCUUUGUCCAAAUCCAUAGAACA
This is a long non-coding RNA of Equus caballus (horse), 1816 nucleotides long. Lineage: Eukaryota; Metazoa; Chordata; Mammalia; Perissodactyla; Equidae. The record is from Ensembl.